GUACAUAAAAUGACUCUCGGCAACGGAUAUCUCGGCUCUCGCAUCGAUGAAGAACGUAGCGAAAUGCGAUACUUGGUGUGAAUUGCAGAAUCCCGUGAACCAUCGAGUCUUUGAACGCAAGUUGCGCCCGAAACCAUUAGGUUGAGGGCACGUCUGCCUGGGUGUCA
This 167-nucleotide ribosomal RNA is filed under the name Lotus jacobaeus. RNAcentral describes it as "5.8S ribosomal RNA". It matches the Rfam family "5.8S ribosomal RNA". From Rfam's summary of the family: 5.8S ribosomal RNA (5.8S rRNA) is a component of the large subunit of the eukaryotic ribosome. It is transcribed by RNA polymerase I as part of the 45S precursor that also contains 18S and 28S rRNA. The record is from RNAcentral. Lineage: Eukaryota; Viridiplantae; Streptophyta; Magnoliopsida; Fabales; Fabaceae.